RNAcentral lists this ribosomal RNA (258 nucleotides) under uncultured bacterium. Its description in RNAcentral is "partial 16S ribosomal RNA". It matches the Rfam family "Bacterial small subunit ribosomal RNA", at positions 524 to 776 of the family's 1533-position model. The record is from RNAcentral.
GACGUAGGGCGCGAGCGUUGUCCGGAUUUUAUUUGGGCGUAAAGAGCUCGUAGGCGGCUUUGUCGCGUCGUCUGUGAAAUCCCGCGGCUCAACCGCGGGUCUGCAGUCGAUACGGGCAGGCUAGAGUUCGGUAGGGGAGACUGGAAUUCCUGGUGUAGCGGUGAAAUGCGCAGAUAUCAGGAGGAACACCGGUGGCGAAGGCGGGUCUCUGGGCCGAUACUGACGCUGAGGAGCGAAAAGCGUGGGGGAGCGAACAGG